GAGGAGGGCUGAGCUUACCCGUUUGGCUCGAGGACGUCAUCGAGAAGGUUGUCGGAUGGGUCUGCCCGCAAGUGAGAUGCCCUCUCUUCUUCUGCUUAGUUGUUUGGACCUCUCACUCUCCGUUCGCUGUCCCUUCUCUCUAUGAACGAACAUGUUCUCUCCUGCUUUCCUUUUUGGUUUUCCUUUUCUAAGCCUCCUCUUUGUCCCAAAACCACCAAAACCCCCC
This 226-nucleotide long non-coding RNA is filed under the name Eucalyptus grandis. Its description in RNAcentral is "long non-coding RNA (EGRA_LNC003967)". The record is from RNAcentral. Lineage: Eukaryota; Viridiplantae; Streptophyta; Magnoliopsida; Myrtales; Myrtaceae.